AUUGAACGCUGGCGGCAGGCCUAACACAUGCAAGUCGAGCGGAUGACGGGAGCUUGCUCCUUGAUUCAGCGGCGGACGGGUGAGUAAUGCCUAGGAAUCUGCCUGGUAGUGGGGGACAACGUUUCGAAAGGAACGCUAAUACCGCAUACGUCCUACGGGAGAAAGCAGGGGACCUUCGGGCCUUGCGCUAUCAGAUGAGCCUAGGUCGGAUUAGCUUGUUGGUGAGGUAAUGGCUCACCAAGGCGACGAUCCGUGACUGGCCUGAGAGGAUGAUCAGUCACACUGGAACUGAGACACGGUCCAGACUCCUACGGGAGGCAGCAGUGGGGAAUAUUGGACAAUGGGCGAAAGCCUGAUCCAGCCAUGCCGCGUGUGUGAAGAAGGUCUUCGGAUUGUAAAGCACUUUAAGUUGGGAGGAAGGGUUGUAGAUUAAUACCUUGCAGUUUUGACGUUACCGACAGAAUAAGCACCGGCUAACUUCGUGCCAGCCGCCGCCGUAA
RNAcentral lists this ribosomal RNA (500 nucleotides) under uncultured bacterium. RNAcentral describes it as "partial 16S ribosomal RNA". It matches the Rfam family "Bacterial small subunit ribosomal RNA", at positions 30 to 523 of the family's 1533-position model. The record is from RNAcentral.